GACGGACGCUGGCGGCGUGCUUAACACAUGCAAGUCGAACGGAAAGGCCCUGCUUUUGUGGGGUGCUCGAGUGGCGAACGGGUGAGUAACACGUGAGUAACCUGCCCUUGACUUUGGGAUAACUUCAGGAAACUGGGGCUAAUACCGGAUAGGAGCUCCUGCUGCAUGGUGGGGGUUGGAAAGUUUCGGCGGUUGUGGAUGGACUCGCGGCUUAUCAGCUUGUUGGUGGGGUAGUGGCUUACCAAGGCUUUGACGGGUAGCCGGCCUGAGAGGGUGACCGGCGACAUUGGGACUGAGAUACGGACCAGACUCCUACGGGCGGCAGCAGUGGAGAAUAUUGCAGAAUGGGCGGAAGCCUGAUGCAGCAACGCCGCGUGCGGGAUGCCGGCCUUCGGGUUGUAAACCGAUUUCGCCUGUGACGAAGCGUGAGUGACGGUAAUGGGUAAAGAAGCACCGGCUAACUACGUG
RNAcentral lists this ribosomal RNA (468 nucleotides) under uncultured bacterium. RNAcentral describes it as "partial 16S ribosomal RNA". It matches the Rfam family "Bacterial small subunit ribosomal RNA", at positions 28 to 507 of the family's 1533-position model. The record is from RNAcentral.